This is a long non-coding RNA of Rhipicephalus sanguineus (brown dog tick), 867 nucleotides long. RefSeq lists it as uncharacterized. The record is from RefSeq and is a predicted model, not a curated record. The transcript has 4 exons. Lineage: Eukaryota; Metazoa; Arthropoda; Arachnida; Ixodida; Ixodidae.
UCAUCGGCCUGUCGCAGUCGUCCGUCAGGAACACGCCAUUACUGUCGUUCGCGGGCAAAAACGGUGGGUGGCCUUUUCCGGAGACCACAGACGCGAAGAGCGAACAAAGGCGGCGUUCGCGCGGCUCGGGCGGAUUCCCGUUGUGGUCGGGUGCGUGGAUGGUACGCUCAUCGCAAUCCAGAAGCCCCAUGGCCUGAGCUCCGCGGACACGACGCAUUACAUGUCGAGGAAGGGACUCUACGCAUUCAACAUCAUGAUCACAUGUGAUGCCGACCUCUGGAUGUCAGUCCAUGUUUCCUGGGGUCAUGCCAUGACUCGUGGGUAUGGCGGGGGAGCCCUCUCCGUCAGCACCUGGAAGCAAAACUUCGGCUUGCUUGGAGACUCCAGCUAUACAUUAGAACCGUGACUCCUGACACCAGUGCCCGGACGCCCAGCUCGUGGCACCCCUGAUAACCACUACAACAAGGCCCACACCGCCAUGCGCAAUGUUGUGGAGUGGUGCAACGCUGUAAGCUUGUGCAGAGCUGCACAAGCGUCAUUGCUGCUUGUGCAGCUCUGCACGACAUUGCGUUGGCGGCACAUAAGCCUGUUCUCGAAGGGGACGAUGACGACACAGACGAUGCUGAGCUGCUGCCAGCAGCAGCUGAGCUACCACCACCACAACGGGAGCCAGCAGCAGCGCAACCGUGUAGUGAACCUGUUUCGAGAACCACCGGGCCUGCAUGCUUGAGCAUCUGCGCAGAGUACGCCGCCGCCUGCAACGACCUCGGCAGCAUUGUGUGGUGGCUUCCGCUGCAAUGAGGGCCCGGGCGAGGGUACCAACGCCUUGCAAUUCGUGGACCACGUCACUGAGAAGUUGAACCUGGC